Small nucleolar RNA from Camelus dromedarius (Arabian camel), 204 nucleotides. Its record names the gene SNORA73. It matches the Rfam family "Small nucleolar RNA SNORA73 family". From Rfam's summary of the family: U17 (SNORA73A and SNORA73B) also known as E1 belongs to the H/ACA class of small nucleolar RNAs (snoRNAs). Vertebrate U17 is intron-encoded and ranges in length from 200-230 nucleotides, longer than most snoRNAs. The record is from Ensembl. Lineage: Eukaryota; Metazoa; Chordata; Mammalia; Artiodactyla; Camelidae.
CCAACGUGGAUACCCCGGGAGGUCACUCUCCCCGGGCUCUGUCCAGGUGGCGUAGGGGAGCAUAGGGCUCUGCCCCGUGAUGUACAGUCCCUUUCCACAACGUUGGAGAUGAAGCCGGGCCUUGAGUCAGCGCCUGCAUAUUCCUACAGCUUCUCAGAGUCCUGUGGACAGUGACUGGGGAGACAAACCAUGCAGGAAACAGCU